Long non-coding RNA from Lathyrus oleraceus (garden pea), 527 nucleotides. RefSeq lists it as uncharacterized. NCBI's taxonomy places the organism in Eukaryota, Viridiplantae, Streptophyta, Magnoliopsida, Fabales, Fabaceae. The record is from RefSeq and is a predicted model, not a curated record. The transcript has 2 exons.
CUAAAGUAUUUUCUUAUCUCUCUCUUGCCCACCACUUACUAUAUUUAUAGUAAGUGAGAAAGAAGAAAGUGGGUAGAAAAGAGAAAGGGGUAUGAAGAGAAGAAAUAAUAGAAAUGAGAGGAGAAGAGAAAGAAAAGGAAAAGAGAAAAUUUAGAAGAAGAAGAAAAAGAGAGCUCGAGUCAAUAAGCAAAGCAUUUCAAUUUCAUCAUCAAACUUCAUCUAUCAAAGGGCAAUCCCCACUAUAGGAUGACCGGACGUACGCUUACUAUGCGGCGUAUAAGUGGAAUAAUUUAGGUCGAAACUAGUUGCGUGGAAGCUUCGCCUAAGGUUUAUGUAACAAAUAAAGUUAAGAGCUUGUGUGGAAAACUUUUAUGAAUUUAAAAUGUAAUUGGUUGGGUAUUGGUGAGGAACAUUUGUUCCGAAAAUCCUAAUUGGUGAUAAACUAUUAUGUGUAUUUCUUGUAUCAUGUUGCGAUGUGUAUGUGUAUGAGUUAACAUGUGUGUAUUAUAAAACAUAUUAUGGAUUGA